AGUCGAGUGCGCGUACCGUAGCAAUACGGUAUGGCGCACGGCGCACGGGUGCGUAACACGUGGGUAAUCUGCCCUUCGAUGGGGAAUAACCUCGCGAAAGCGAGGCUAAUUCCGCAUAACAUUCCGGGGAUUUCGGUUCCUGGAUUCAAAGGCGUAAGUCGUCGAAGGAGGAGCCCGCGCACGAUUAGCUAGUUGGUAGGGUAAUGGCCUACCAAGGCUUUGAUCGUUAGCUGGUCUGAGAGGAUGGCCAGCCACACUGGAACUGAGACACGGUCCAGACUCCUACGGGAGGCAGCAGUGGGGAAUCUUGCACAAUGGGCGAAAGCCUGAUGCAGCGACGCCGCGUGGGGGAUGAAGCAUUUCGGUGUGUAAACCCCUUUCGACCCGGACGAAUGCCUCGCAAGAGGACUGACGGUACGGGUAUAAGAAGCCCCGGCUAACUACGUGCCAGCAGCCGCGGUAAGACGUAGGGGGCCAGCGUUGUUCGGAAUUACUGGGUGUAAAGGGUUCGUAGGCGGUGCGGCAAGUUGGGAGUGAAAUCUCUGGGCUCAACCCAGAGGCUGCUUCCAAAACUGCUGUGCUUGAGUGUGGGAGAGGUGCGUGGAAUUGCAGGUGUAGCGGUGAAAUGCGUAGAUAUCUGCAGGAACACCCGUGGCGA
Molecule: ribosomal RNA, 658 nt
Filed under: uncultured Acidobacteriota bacterium
Lineage: Bacteria; Pseudomonadati; Acidobacteriota
Description: bacterial SSU rRNA
Rfam family: Bacterial small subunit ribosomal RNA
Source: RNAcentral